This 382-nucleotide ribosomal RNA is filed under the name uncultured eukaryote. Its description in RNAcentral is "partial 18S ribosomal RNA". It matches the Rfam family "Eukaryotic small subunit ribosomal RNA", at positions 592 to 975 of the family's 1831-position model. The record is from RNAcentral.
CAAUAGCGUAUAUUAAAGUUGUUGCAGUUAAAAAGCUCGUAGUUGGAUUUCUGGUGGGAGCGAUCGGUCUGGCGCUUAGCGCGAGUACUUGCAUCGUCUCCGGCCAUCCUUGGGGAGAGUCUGUCUGGCAUUAGGUUGUCGGGCAGAGGAUCCUCAUCGUUUACUGUGAAAAAAUUAGAGUGUUCAAAGCAGGCUUAUGCCGUUGAAUAUAUUAGCAUGGAAUAAUAAGAUAGGACUUUGGUACUAUUUUGUUGGUUUGCGCACCGAAGUAAUGAUUAAUAGGGACAGUUGGGGGUAUUCGUAUUCCGUUGUCAGAGGUGAAAUUCUUGGAUUUACGGAAGACGAACUACUGCGAAAGCAUUUACCAAGGAUGUUUUCAUUA